UACAGAGGUCCCGAGCGUUGUUCGGAUUCACUGGGCGUAAAGGGUGCGUAGGUGGUGAGGUAAGUCGGAUGUGAAAGCUCCAAGCUCAACUUGGAAAUGGCAUUGGAAACUACCUUGCUAGAGGGUUUGAGGGGGGACUGGAAUACUUGGUGUAGCAGUGAAAUGCGUAGAUAUCAAGUGGAACACCAGUGGCGAAGGCGAGUCUCUGGACAUUUCCUGACGCUGAGGCACGAAAGCCAGGGGAGCAAACGGG
This 253-nucleotide ribosomal RNA is filed under the name uncultured bacterium. Its description in RNAcentral is "partial 16S ribosomal RNA". It matches the Rfam family "Bacterial small subunit ribosomal RNA", at positions 524 to 776 of the family's 1533-position model. The record is from RNAcentral.